RNAcentral lists this ribosomal RNA (475 nucleotides) under Peribacillus simplex. RNAcentral's name for it is "bacterial SSU rRNA". It matches the Rfam family "Bacterial small subunit ribosomal RNA", at positions 394 to 860 of the family's 1533-position model. The record is from RNAcentral. Lineage: Bacteria; Bacillati; Bacillota; Bacilli; Caryophanales; Bacillaceae.
ACGCCGCGUGAACGAAGAAGGCCUUCGGGUCGUAAAGUUCUGUUGUUAGGGAAGAACAAGUACCAGAGUAACUGCUGGUACCUUGACGGUACCUAACCAGAAAGCCACGGCUAACUACGUGCCAGCAGCCGCGGUAAUACGUAGGUGGCAAGCGUUGUCCGGAAUUAUUGGGCGUAAAGCGCGCGCAGGUGGUUCUUUAAGUCUGAUGUGAAAGCCCACGGCUCAACCGUGGAGGGUCAUUGGAAACUGGGGAACUUGAGUGCAGAAGAGGAAAGUGGAAUUCCAAGUGUAGCGGUGAAAUGCGUAGAGAUUUGGAGGAACACCAGUGGCGAAGGCGACUUUCUGGUCUGUAACUGACACUGAGGCGCGAAAGCGUGGGGAGCAAACAGGAUUAGAUACCCUGGUAGUCCACGCCGUAAACGAUGAGUGCUAAGUGUUAGAGGGUUUCCGCCCUUUAGUGCUGCAGCUAACGCAU